This 441-nucleotide ribosomal RNA is filed under the name uncultured bacterium. RNAcentral's name for it is "partial 16S ribosomal RNA". It matches the Rfam family "Bacterial small subunit ribosomal RNA", at positions 339 to 795 of the family's 1533-position model. The record is from RNAcentral.
CUACGGGUGGCUGCAGUGGGGAAUAUUGGGCAAUGGGCGCAAGCCUGACCCAGCAACGCCGCGUGAGGGAAGAAGGUUUUCGGAUUGUAAACCUCUGUCCUUGGGGACGAAGAAGUGACGGUACCCAAGGAGGAAGCUCCGGCUAACUACGUGCCAGCAGCCGCGGUAAUACGUAGGGAGCAAGCGUUGUCCGGAAUUACUGGGCGUAAAGGGUGCGUAGGCGGCAUAUUAAGUCAGGUGUGAAAUACUCGGGCUCAACCCGAGGGGUGCAUUUGAAACUGAUAAGCUUGAGUGUGAGAGAGGAAAGUGGAAUUCCUAGUGUAGCGGUGGAAUGCGUAGAUAUUAGGAGGAACACCAGUGGCGAAGGCGACUUUCUGGCUCAUAACUGACGCUGAGGCACGAAAGCGUGGGGAGCAAACAGGAUUAGAUACCCGAGUAGUC